UGGAAACGCUACGGCAGGCUUAUUCAUGCAGUCGAGGGGCAGCACAGUGUAGCACUACCGGGUGGCGACCGGCAAACGGGUGCGACACGUACACAACCUUCCUUAAGGUGGGGGAUAGCCCAGAGAAAUUUGGAUUAAUACCUCAUAGCAUAUUGGGAUCGCAUGAUUUUGAUAUUACAGAUUUAUUGCCUUAAGAUGGGUGUGCGUAUGAUUAGGUAGUUGGUGUAGGUAACGGCUCACCAAGCCUUCGAUCAUUAACUGGUGUGAGAGCACGACCAGUCACACGGGCACUGAGACACGGGCCCGACUCCUACGGGAGGCAGCAGUAAGGAAUAUUGGUCAAUGGACGGAAGUCUGAACCAGCCAUGCCGCGUGAAGGAUGAAGGCCCUCUGGGUUGUAAACUUCUUUUCUCUGGGGCGAAAAAAGGGAAUUCUUUCCCGUCUGACGGUACCAGAGGAAUAAGCACCGGCUAACUCCGUGCCAGCAGCCGCGGUAAUACGGAGGGUGCAAGCGUUAUCCGGAUUCACUGGGUUUAAAGGGAGCGCAGGCGGACAUGUAAGUCAGUGGUGAAAUACCUGAGCUUAACUCGGGAACUGCCAUUGAUACUAUGUGUCUUGA
This 619-nucleotide ribosomal RNA is filed under the name uncultured soil bacterium. RNAcentral describes it as "bacterial SSU rRNA". It matches the Rfam family "Bacterial small subunit ribosomal RNA", at positions 26 to 645 of the family's 1533-position model. The record is from RNAcentral.